GCGUCGGUAGUGCAACGGUUAGCAUACGCUCUCGGAAAGAGUGAGAUCUGGGUUCGAAUCCCGACUGACGCG
Parelaphostrongylus tenuis is the source of this 72-nucleotide non-coding RNA. NCBI's taxonomy places the organism in Eukaryota, Metazoa, Nematoda, Chromadorea, Rhabditida, Metastrongylidae. The record is from the annotation of a GenBank genome assembly.